Non-coding RNA from Pteropus alecto (black flying fox), 119 nucleotides. The record is from Rfam. Lineage: Eukaryota; Metazoa; Chordata; Mammalia; Chiroptera; Pteropodidae.
GCCUAUGGCCAUGCCAUCCUGAACAAGCCCGAUCCUGUCUGAUCUUGGAAGCUAAGCAGGGUUGGGCCUGGUUAGUACUUGGAUGAGAGACCACCUAGGAAGACCAGGUGCUCUAGACG